RNAcentral lists this transfer RNA (74 nucleotides) under Streptococcus pneumoniae. Its description in RNAcentral is "tRNA-Gly(gcc)". It matches the Rfam family "tRNA". Rfam says of the family: Transfer RNA (tRNA) molecules are approximately 80 nucleotides in length. Their secondary structure includes four short double-helical elements and three loops (D, anti-codon, and T loops). Further hydrogen bonds mediate the characteristic L-shaped molecular structure. tRNAs have two regions of fundamental functional importance: the anti-codon, which is responsible for specific mRNA codon recognition, and the 3' end, to which the tRNAs corresponding amino acid is attached (by aminoacyl-tRNA synthetases). tRNAs cope with the degeneracy of the genetic code in two manners: having more than one tRNA (with a specific anti-codon) for a particular amino acid; and 'wobble' base-pairing, i.e. permitting non-standard base-pairing at the 3rd anti-codon position. The record is from RNAcentral. Lineage: Bacteria; Bacillati; Bacillota; Bacilli; Lactobacillales; Streptococcaceae.
GCGGAAGUAGUUCAGUGGUAGAAUACAACCUUGCCAAGGUUGGGGUCGCGGGUUCGAAUCCCGUCUUCCGCUCC